GAUAGGUCGCUGUCGCUAGGGUGAUUGGACACUGACACCGAGUCAACUAGCCUUGGUCGUGCGGUUCUUCGUGCACGGAACCGAGGACGGUCCGAGCCACGAGGGGGGAGGCUCGGACCGUCCGCC
Molecule: non-coding RNA, 126 nt
Filed under: Streptomyces toyocaensis
Lineage: Bacteria; Bacillati; Actinomycetota; Actinomycetes; Kitasatosporales; Streptomycetaceae
Description: Streptomyces RNA 3920
Rfam family: Streptomyces RNA 3920
About the family: Identified by deep sequencing of transcriptome at the end of exponential growth phase. Sequencing size consistent with northern blot size.
Source: Rfam by way of RNAcentral